Molecule: long non-coding RNA, 1998 nt
Organism: Phasianus colchicus (ring-necked pheasant)
Lineage: Eukaryota; Metazoa; Chordata; Aves; Galliformes; Phasianidae
Source: RefSeq, a predicted model, not a curated record
CUCAAAAUUGCUCUUUCCAUCCAAGGAGAUUUGUCUUGAAUUUAAACCAAUAAAAUGACUAUACUGCACCUACAAGGUGUUAAGUACAUGUGUGUAAACUUGGCAUACUGAAAAAUAUAACAAACAAACAACAACAACAACAACAAAACACAAAAAAAUCAGUUACCAAGGAAAUGCUGCCUAGUGGACAGAGCACUUGGCCCUCAGGGUACCUGAGUUUUAUUCCCAGAUCUGUGUCAUCAGCUUGGUCUUUGUGACGCAACAUUGCUGUAUGCAAAAACCAUAGCCAUCUCCUUGGUACAGUGUUCUGAGAUUUGCUGAAGAAAAUACAUUAGAAGCUCAUGUCAGCACAGAGAUGGUCCAAACCCCACAAAAUGGGAUUCCACAGCAUCUUCUAGCUCAAAUGACUAUCCUACAUCCAGGAUCUGGGAGAGUACUUGGAUCAAACUCAUCUUCACUUCCACUGUGUGCAAGAACAGCCACCGUUUCACCUUCAGCCUGCCAGGUGACAAAUGGAGAGUUACAAGACAAGCAAACACAUCCACGACCCCAUUAACAGAGACACUAUAACAAAAUCCAUUCACCACACCUGAAGGACAUCACUAGUAUACCCAGGAAAAUGGAAUCAUUUCUGAAGUCAUCAGUGCUCUUCCUUCAAGAUUAUUAAAGGCUGAAGAAUAUUAUUCAUAACGAAGCUCAAGGAUUUACAUUCAAUUUCUACUUUCAUAUUAAAUCUACCAAAUCUAAAAGAUUUUGGCAGCAUCUUAAUAACAGUCAUCUCAAAGUGUUUAAGACAGAACUCCACUGUCCCACAGAAACACUGGCGAAGAAAUGUGAGCUUGAGGACACAUUAAUCACUUCUGUAAGGUGUACUUUAUAAAAUACAGUGAUUUAAAAUGUAGGCAGUCUUCCACGCCAGUUGAAACGAAAGUGCUAAAAUCUGAGUGGAAUUAAGUGUCCUAUGGGAGUUUCUGCCAUUCACUGCAAGUGAUGUGUGGUCUUGAGGCUCCCUCCCAUCUCCCCUCUGGGGCUCAGCUCCCCUCAGUCUUGCAGCCCUUCUUUGGAAGGCAAGUUUCCCCACGAGUGUGGGAAUGCCUCACUAAUUCCUUAACAGAAAGGGCACUCCAUAAAGGUCUUGGAUGAUAAAAUAAAUCUGACUGCACUGCAAGUGGUUCUGAACCAACAGCACCACUUUUGUAAAUGUUACUACUGUGAAUGGGCAGUAACAAAGCAGACAGUUUGGAGGGCUUAUGCAACUGCAUAUGCACACAAAAACACAGACAAAAAGCUCACAGGCAAUUUUAAGUGACACAGAUCUGAGAUUCACACAUUCUUAUAGCGAAAAGCAAAGCAAAAAAACAACAAAAAAAAACCCCCACAAAAACAAACAAAAAACCCCAAUGAAAUUAUAGUUAAAUACAUCACUAUCUUCUGUUUACAUUUCUAAAAAAUAUCCCUGGAUGAAUUUUCAAAGCAGCACUCAUUUAAAUGAUACUUUAUCCUGUGAAUAACUUCACAUAAUUAAAUAUUUAAAGUUAAUUACUGUUGUGAUUUUUCAUUACUUCCAUCCAUCUCCAGGCCAAAGUUUUAAAGUACACUGUUCUCAAGUGCACAGAUCUCACCACAAUAAACACAAACAAAACCCACAUCAAAUUCUUUUUUUUUUUUUAAUAUUGGCAUAUAUGGUAAGUGAAAGGAAAUGAGCUGGUGAGGGGUAAGAUUAGUCAGUGCUGCAAGGGCCUGUCCAGCAACACUUCUACAAUGCCCUGAAAGCAAUGAGAAAGAGCUAAAAGCCACAUUUGCUAUUAAAAGGAAAGAGAAAAAAACAUAGGAAACAUGCAUUUUGUUCUUGACUGUUAUAAAAUACAAGUAAAGGUAAUUGCACAGCUGGCUGUAUGAAAUCACUAAGGGUAUCAUCAGACUCAGCAGCACUGGGAACUACCUGCAGUAACACAGGCACUGACUGAAAAGCAUGCUGAUAGGCAGGAACUUCAGGCA